This 321-nucleotide ribosomal RNA is filed under the name Triticum aestivum (bread wheat). RNAcentral's name for it is "partial small subunit ribosomal RNA". Lineage: Eukaryota; Viridiplantae; Streptophyta; Magnoliopsida; Poales; Poaceae. The record is from RNAcentral.
AUGCCGCCUGCAGUCCCCUCAGAGUCACGUCUCUCCGGACAAGCGCCACCAGCCCCUCAAGAAGCUGAGCAACGCCGAACUCCCAGCGUCUGCUCCCGCAUUGCCCGCCACGCUACUCACAAUCUAUCUCCCGAGGACGACGCGUCCACCACCUUCUCGGACGGCGGCAGCAGUAGCUCUGUCGGUGCCAGUGCCUCCUCCCGUUGGGACUUGGAGCAGCGGGCACGUAUGGACGACUGCGGCCUGCUGCAGCGCUGUGGCAAGCUCCUGAGCAGCAUCGAGGCAUUCACAAGCGCCGGCGACGCGGCCGCCGACCAGUAG